RNAcentral lists this ribosomal RNA (484 nucleotides) under uncultured bacterium. RNAcentral's name for it is "partial 16S ribosomal RNA". It matches the Rfam family "Bacterial small subunit ribosomal RNA", at positions 29 to 507 of the family's 1533-position model. The record is from RNAcentral.
AUUGAACGCUGGCGGAAUGCUUUACACAUGCAAGUCGAACGGCAGCACGGGGGCAGCCCUGGUGGCGAGUGGCGAACGGGUGAGUAAUACAUCGGAACGUGUCCGGUCGUGGGGGAUAACGUAGCGAAAGUUACGCUAAUACCGCAUACGAUCUGAGGAUGAAAGCGGGGGACCUUCGGGCCUCGCGCGAUCGGAGCGGCCGAUGUCAGAUUAGGUAGUUGGUGGGGUAAAGGCCUACCAAGCCGACGAUCUGUAGCUGGUCUGAGAGGACGACCAGCCACACGGGGAAGAAGCCCGGCCCAGACCCCCGCGGGGAGGCACCGUGGGGAAUUUUGGAACAAGGGGCGCAGGCUGAAUCCAGCCAUCCGGCGGGAAGAACGAGGCCUUCCGGGUUGAAACUGUUUUUUGCGGGAAAGAAAAGGCCGGGGCCUAAUACCGGGGGCACAGGAGGUUCCGGAAAAAAAAGGCCCGGGCAAACUCGGAG